This 292-nucleotide ribosomal RNA is filed under the name Acinetobacter baumannii OIFC137. Its description in RNAcentral is "partial 16S ribosomal RNA". It matches the Rfam family "Bacterial small subunit ribosomal RNA", at positions 51 to 345 of the family's 1533-position model. Lineage: Bacteria; Pseudomonadati; Pseudomonadota; Gammaproteobacteria; Moraxellales; Moraxellaceae. The record is from RNAcentral.
ACACAUGCAAGUCGAGCGGGGGAAGGUAGCUUGCUACCGGACCUAGCGGCGGACGGGUGAGUAAUGCUUAGGAAUCUGCCUAUUAGUGGGGGACAACAUCUCGAAAGGGAUGCUAAUACCGCAUACGUCCUACGGGAGAAAGCAGGGGAUCUUCGGACCUUGCGCUAAUAGAUGAGCCUAAGUCGGAUUAGCUAGUUGGUGGGGUAAAGGCCUACCAAGGCGACGAUCUGUAGCGGGUCUGAGAGGAUGAUCCGCCACACUGGGACUGAGACACGGCCCAGACUCCUACGGG